UUUCCAUGUAGACCCAUGCAUCACCCAUCGUCCACACAAUUACUCCCCAUCAUUAGUUUUGCCGGUCUCUACGUCUUCUUCAUCAAAUCGUUUCUUUUCAUCUCCUUCACUAUUUUCGGACGGAUGGAUCUAUGUUUUGCCUAUUCAUCUUCUCUUGAUAACCCUCCUUUUAAUCCAUGGGUUCGUUCCCGUCACCUACACCAAAGCUGAAUCAAUCAAUUGCUUGAUGGCAGGAAACACUCACAUUGGAGGAAGAGGCGUUGGCAGAGAAAGGGCUUGCAUCGUCUCAGCUGGUGUGUGCCAAGCGGCUUGCCACGAGACUCCACGGUACGGUCGCCGGCGUUUUGCACCUUCCACCGUUGUCUCCUGUAGGUGUAUAGCUCCCUUCCUCUGGCCGCCCAUGUCCCUGCUACAGCCAGUGGACCUCCACAGAUCGGGGACGACAAGGGCACCGACGACCAUGGUCAGUCCCGUGACGCCAGGCAUGUUCGACCUCUUUCGGUGGCUUUCUGCUGCCCCUGCAUGUGGAGCUCAACAUGGAGGAACUCGUCGUGGCCCGAGUAUCGCUCUGGGCGCGGCUGCCCACCGCCCCGCAUGACAACUGGUCCAACGCCCACCAAGUGUUUGGUGUAAUGUCGAUAUGGGCGGAUGGCUAUUGGUAAAAACAAAAUUCAGUUUAGUCUAGAAAUUGUAUUGCUAUACCCUUAAUUUUGUGUUCUUCCAUAAGAUUAGAUUUGAAUUUACCUCUAACAUAUCGAAUGUAUUGAAUCUGAAGUACGAUACCAAAAUGAAUGACUUACGUGAGUUUGUGAGA
Molecule: long non-coding RNA, 814 nt
Organism: Triticum aestivum (bread wheat)
Lineage: Eukaryota; Viridiplantae; Streptophyta; Magnoliopsida; Poales; Poaceae
Exons: 2
Source: RefSeq, a predicted model, not a curated record